Molecule: ribosomal RNA, 500 nt
Filed under: uncultured bacterium
Lineage: Bacteria
Description: partial 16S ribosomal RNA
Rfam family: Bacterial small subunit ribosomal RNA
Source: RNAcentral
AUUGAACGCUGGCGGAAUGCUUUACACAUGCAAGUCGAACGGCAGCACGGACUUCGGUCUGGUGGCGAGUGGCGGACGGGUGAGUAAUACAUCGGAACGUGCCCAGUCGUGGGGGAUAACGUAGCGAAAGCUACGCUAAUACCGCAUACGAUCUAAGGAUGAAAGCGGGGGAUCGCAAGCCCUCGCGCGAUUGGAGCGGCCGAUGGCAGAUUAGGUAGUUGGUGGGGUAAAGGCUCACCAAGCCGACGAUCUGUAGCUGGUCUGAGAGGACGACCAGCCACACUGGGACUGAGACACGGCCCAGACUCCUACGGGAGGCAGCAGUGGGGAAUUUUGGACAAUGGGCGCAAGCCUGAUCCAGCCAUUCCGCGUGCAGGAUGAAGGCCCUCGGGUUGUAAACUGCUUUUGUACGGAACGAAAAGGCUCUGGUUAAUACCUGGGGCUCAUGACGGUACCGUAAGAAUAAGCACCGGCUAACUACGUGCCAGCCGCCGCCGUAA